AAAAAUAACUGGAUAUUAUUGAACUGAGAUGGUUGUUUCUAAAACAAAAGGAGGAAAUCUUGGCUGGCUAUACUGAACAUGAACAUCUGUUCCUGUUAAAUAAAUCUACAUGUCUAAAAUGCUUCAGCCUACUUAAUUUCUGGAUUAGCAUGUCUUGUAGUGAACCUUUGAGAGUCAUGUUAAGUCAGAGAUUCAUAAUGAAAAACUAAGUAUUUGGGAUCUAGGAGCUAGUUCCAAGAAAAAUGGCUUCUAAGCACCCUUCAUUCAGAGGUGGGGUGAGGGUUGGCUGCCAUUCUGCAAAUGGCUGGUGUGUAGCAGAACAUUUAGGACAUGGUUGAGCCUCAUGUAAAAGGUUACAUGAGAUGAACUGUUAAGAGGUAGAUUUAACUGCACAGAAGAAAGGCUCUACAAAGGUAAUUUUAAGGAGUGGUUGUCAAGUCUCCAGCCCUGGUAGUUAUUUUUCUUUAAAAUGUCUUCAACUCUGUCCUUUCUAUUGACAGGGACACAACUUUAUUUCACCUCACACUUUUAUCAUUCU
This 538-nucleotide long non-coding RNA is filed under the name Bos taurus (domestic cattle). RNAcentral describes it as "long non-coding RNA NONBTAT002809". The record is from RNAcentral. Lineage: Eukaryota; Metazoa; Chordata; Mammalia; Artiodactyla; Bovidae.